Molecule: long non-coding RNA, 2241 nt
Organism: Numida meleagris (helmeted guineafowl)
Lineage: Eukaryota; Metazoa; Chordata; Aves; Galliformes; Numididae
Source: Ensembl
ACAGCUUUGAAUCAGGCCCAAAGAAAGUAUAGAAACAUCUACUACAAAGCAAGUAAGUGAAAACAGAAACACAAAAAUAGGAGCACUGUAAAUCAGUUUCUAAUUAUGGAAUUAAACGUCACCAAAUAAGCUAUAUAGAAAUGUUAAGCAAACUUGUUUGUUCACGUAAAAUUUACAGAUUUUAGACAUUUCAUUUAGUAUUCACAAUUAUGUUAUGAAAGUACGGAAAAAAUAACAUAAAAUACAGGAAUCAGACAGAUUUCAAGCAACAGUGUUAAUGGGGAACCUUACUAAUUGGAGCUUUUUCCCCCACGCAGUCUAAUAAUGUUGUUUGAAUGUUUAUCUCAUUCAGCCAGUUUAAGUGUGAAAACUUCAACGGCUGUUUAAUAAACUUUCAUUUUAAUACAAUCAAAUGCAAGGUGAUGCGUACAUAGAAGCUAUUGCUGUACCUCUUAUUGACAGGAUGGAUGGAAAUGCCUAUUACCGACAUGAGUCUGUAUAUACAGGCAUCAGGGUUAUCGCUACUCCCACAGUGAUGCUUUGCUCAGAGGCACCAAAGAGAGAAAGGAAAACCUUACGGUAUUUAAAAACAUUUUUGAGAUCUGCGUGGUGAUUCAUCAGUUAAUUUUAUCAGAACUGAUGGAAAAGUGAAGCACGUCUCCCAUAUCACAGGUUUGACUUGAAUGCUGUGAAGUAUAUGCAGAGAGACAACAUAUAAAAUUCUCAUAAAAAGCUAGAGUAUGGAUGACAAAGUACAGUAGAAAUUUCACUGACCACAGACGACAGAAGGGAGAGCUGUUUUCUUUGAGGGUAAAUAACACACCAGAAAGCCCUGGGCAAAUUUUUGUAACCAAGGUCACACCACGUGCAGGAGCGCUGGCGCAAUCAGAACAGAGGUACAGGAUCAGGAACGAGUGCCUAGAAACAGAAACCUCUAGAACUGACUGCCUGGCUUACGAGAACAAAGAAUCAUAUCAGAGCGUGCAGCUGCUCAGUAAAUCGAGAAAGAAAAACAUUCAAGAGCCAAUCAAAAUCUGAGUAUCCCUUUGAUGACAUAUGGGAUUGAUAACUACACUGACAGCGAAGCCGAGAAUGCCUCAGGAUUCAGGAAGCAGAAGUUUCUUACACAGACCAGCUGAGCUGAGGAAGUGAACUAUAUGAUCUUUUUAAUUAAAAAAAAAAGAAGAAGAAAUUAGCCUAGCAGGAAUACAUAGUGUCUGAUUUGACUAAGUGUAAUUAAAAGCUUACGUUUUCAGGGACUUAGGAUGAAACCGUUAGAACUGUUUUCUUUGUUGACUCUGAGAUUUAUGUUACUUGCAUGAGACCUCGUGUAUUUUUACAACAUGAAAUGCCUUGACCCUGAGUUAUUACGCUUUUUAAUCUUUUCCUUUUAAAGCUCAAAGGCAAGACACGAUAUAGCCUGCAGACUUUUUUUUCCCCCAGAAUGGUAUGUAUAUGUCCUGUGCUACAAGUCUGAACCAAGAAGAAUAGUUUUACUAACCAGGGUUAGCAACUAACACCACCUGUUAACCACCAAAUAAGGAGACACAUUGUUCUUUCAUUGAGCUCUUAUUUGCCUUUAAGAAAUCUGCCUAAAAGGGACCUUAAACAUUUUCCUGCUACGUUUAUUGUCUUUAUGGAAUAUUGUACUUUAUGGAAAUUUAUAACAGACAUAUUUAUAAAACCUACCAAGAUGGCAACUGUCUACUCUAAAGUUAAAACGGAUAUUGUAAUUUUAUACUAUAAUACUGAUCUAAUUAACAUGCGAAGGGAUUAGCUACUAUGACACUGGAUGCUAUAGAAACCUCAGGUUAUACAGAUAAUUAGAGACUGAAGAGAAUUCAUGAUCCUCCAGGGCAUGAAUAAGAACAGCUACGCUCAGCUUCUGCUCUAAACCAUCCCUUGCAGUAGCUCAUCUCUCUUCACUGACUACAGUGAGAGUUUCGAGAGAUUUAGCCAAAGCUAUAAUUAGCCUGCAUGCAUUCCCACUAAGUACCAGUGCACAGACUUCCAUCAAAUUCAAUGGAACCUGAGUCAAAUUGCUAGAGCAUUCCUGCUAAUACAGUAUAGCGUGAGAUAGUUUCGCAGACUAAGAAUUCUGUUACAUUGCUUUUUUGGUAGAAUGGCAUUCAUAGCCUCAACCUAUAAUUCUCAUUUAAAAUUUAAUUUCUAAUAUGGAAUGAAUACAUCUGCUAGCCAUAAAUAUUUCUAAAAUGUUAAUAAAAUGAUAUGACCUCCGAG